This 491-nucleotide ribosomal RNA is filed under the name uncultured bacterium. Its description in RNAcentral is "bacterial SSU rRNA". It matches the Rfam family "Bacterial small subunit ribosomal RNA", at positions 17 to 518 of the family's 1533-position model. The record is from RNAcentral.
UUCUGGCUCAGGAUGAACGCUGGCGGCGUGCCUAACACAUGCAAGUCGAACGGGACAUACGAAAAGCUUGCUUUCGUAUGUUUAGUGGCGGACGGGUGAGUAACGCGUGAGCAACCUGCCUUUCAGUGUGGAAUAACGUCUCGGAAACGGACGCUAAUACCGCAUGACAUCAAGAUGUCGCAUGGCAACUUGAUUAAAGAUUUAUCGCUGAAAGAUGGGCUCGCGUCCGAUUAGCUAGAUGGUGGGGUAAAGGCUCACCAUGGCGACGAUCGGUAGCCGGACUGAGAGGUUGAACGGCCACAUUGGGACUGAGACACGGCCCAGACUCCUACGGGAGGCAGCAGUGGGGGAUAUUGCACAAUGGGGGAAACCCUGAAUGCAGCAACGCCGCGUGAGGGAAGACGGUUUUCGGAUUGUAAACCUCUGUCUUCGGUGACGAUAAUGACGGUAGCCGAGGAGGAAGCUCCGGCUAACUACGUGCCAGCAGCAGC